This 69-nucleotide transfer RNA is filed under the name Stethojulis strigiventer (three-ribbon wrasse). RNAcentral describes it as "tRNA-Met". It matches the Rfam family "tRNA". Rfam says of the family: Transfer RNA (tRNA) molecules are approximately 80 nucleotides in length. Their secondary structure includes four short double-helical elements and three loops (D, anti-codon, and T loops). The record is from RNAcentral. Lineage: Eukaryota; Metazoa; Chordata; Actinopteri; Labriformes; Labridae.
AGUUAGGUCAGCUAAUUAAGCUCUUGGGCCCAUACCCCAAAAAUGUUGGUUAGACCCCAACCCUCACUA